Molecule: ribosomal RNA, 490 nt
Filed under: Methylobacterium sp.
Lineage: Bacteria; Pseudomonadati; Pseudomonadota; Alphaproteobacteria; Hyphomicrobiales; Methylobacteriaceae
Description: bacterial SSU rRNA
Rfam family: Bacterial small subunit ribosomal RNA
Source: RNAcentral
GUGCCCUCCGGUCUGGGAUAACCCUGGGAAACUAGGGCUAAUACCGGAUACGUGCUUUGGCAGAAAGGUUUACUGCCGGAGGAUCGGCCCGCGUCUGAUUAGCUUGUUGGUGGGGUAACGGCCUACCAAGGCGACGAUCAGUAGCUGGUCUGAGAGGAUGAUCAGCCACACUGGGACUGAGACACGGCCCAGACUCCUACGGGAGGCAGCAGUGGGGAAUAUUGGACAAUGGGCGCAAGCCUGAUCCAGCCAUGCCGCGUGAGUGAUGACGGCCUUAGGGUUGUAAAGCUCUUUUCUCCGGGACGAUAAUGACGGUACCGGAGGAAUAAGCCCCGGCUAACUUCGUGCCAGCAGCCGCGGUAAUACGAAGGGGGCUAGCGUUGCUCGGAAUCACUGGGCGUAAAGGGCGCGUAGGCGGCGUUUUAAGUCGGGGGUGAAAGCCUGUGGCUCAACCACAGAAUGGCCUUCGAUACUGGGACGCUUGAGUAUG